RNAcentral lists this long non-coding RNA (4295 nucleotides) under Zea mays. RNAcentral's name for it is "long non-coding RNA (ZMAY_LNC000463)". Lineage: Eukaryota; Viridiplantae; Streptophyta; Magnoliopsida; Poales; Poaceae. The record is from RNAcentral.
UUGGAAGAUUGUGGAGAAUGCAGGGGGUCAUGCCGCAACACCAAUGACAUCCUCGGCCUUCUGUGCAGGGAACACUUCCCUGGACUGGUUGAGUAUGCCGGAAUGACGGGCCCAGCCUACACCUUCGACCACUACGCCGGCGCCCCUGAUGCAGUAGAUCGGGACAACCAGGAAUUCAACAAGGCGCAGCGGGUGAAGCAAGAGAUGUGGAUAAGUCUUACUAUAUUGUAAAAUAUGUUGCAUUCGUUGCACAUUCUUAAAUAAUGUAUGGAUACAUCAUCUUUGUAUGCAGGAUUUCUUCAGAUGCGAGACUGGAUACGAGGUCAGGGUGGAUGUGGUGGCCACCAUGAGCUGUAAGAAGCUCGUUGUGGACAUGCACUACGAGGCGCGAAUCCAAGCCAUCGCCAGCUACCACGGCUCUGUCCUUAGGGAGAAGGUGACCAAGCAGGACGUCCGAACCAUGUUGUUGACUAGGGACUAGUACUUGCAGGUAAAUAUAGCACUUUAAUAUUUGUGACAAAUUUUGCUUAAUUUUAUCUUCUGAUAUGUAGUAUACUUGUUUUACUUUGUAGAUGAUUCCUUAUUGGUACGCCGCACAUCCUCAGUGAUGGGAGCAGAUGGUGGAUAGGUGGUGCUCGCCUGAGUGGGACGAGGCGCACAACUCUAGCCGGAAACAAUGUCUGAUGAUGCAAGGUCCCUCCGACCACCAAGGCAGUAGCAGCCUCGAUAAAUAUGCAGAAGUAUGGGUACACCCUCUUUUUUAUUUAGGUAUAUAACACUGGAUUAUAUAUUAUUUCUAAAUAUCUCGUUGGUUUUCUUGCAGUCGGUGUCACAUGGUGGCCAACCUUGCUCCAUCUUCUCGGCUUAUGUUAUGGCCCACAAGGGCAAGGCGACAUCUGACGUCACCUACAACCCGGAUGAUAGGCCCGAGGCGUAUAACAACCCCACCAUCUACUACCACCUAAGUGAGUACACUGCCAUUGCACAGGAGGUCCAUGGGCAAGAUUACGAUCUGAGGACCGAUGACAUUGACGGAGAUGUCCUCAUGAGGGACGGAGGAGGCAAGAGGCAUGGGCGGUACUGGAUUGCCGACGAAGCAACUGGCUCGUCGUCCACUCCCACUCUGUCUCAGGUGUGAGCACGGAGCACGAGCUCGAGCCUGUGGCAGAACCUCCCAAGUUAUUGGGCCCACAUGCACCUGUCCUUGUCUCAAAGACCUCAGACAACUAUGCAUGUGCACCAGAUAACUUAACAGGAUCCGUCCGAUUGCCCAAGGACAUCGGAUAAACCACUUACAACCAGAACCGCGGGAUUAAGUAACACAAAUCACACACACAACAUUUUUGCAGCGGAAAUCUUAUUACCAAAUUUUACAGGUUACAAAAAUUUUACAAUGUACAUGAUCGGAGUGAUUACAAGGUGAUUCAAAGAAAUAACUUUGAACUGUUAUAAAUUAUUUAUAGUUUUGAAAUAUAUGCUAGCUCAAGUGACCAUCCUCAAUAAGAAGAUAAAGACGGGGUAUACUUAUAUAAGAAGGCCGAGCCCACCGGCACUUAACACCAUCAACAGCAGCACAAAACUAUAACCUGAAAAACAACAGGGAAUAAAACCCUGAGUAUGGAAUUACUCAGUAAGACUUACCCGACUAAAGAAAAGACUCUCAAGGAUAUGCUGGAUUUGGGAAUCAAGGAGAGGCUUUAGCAAGAAUCAACUUAGAUACUUUUGCAGAAAAUAGCUUACUAAAGUGAAUCCUUACUUUCAAUGUUUUAACGCCGGAUUAAAUAUUAAUAGACUCUGUUUGCAUCUGGUCUAAUUUCACCAUCUCAUCAAUACAACAUCAUUUUUAUUCAUGAGGUUCACAUCCUUACUUAGGUUGUAGGGCAGUGACCAAGUCUUCAUAACCGCGAAGGUACGACGAUCCGAAUCGAUUAUACUCAGCUGAGGAUCUCCAAUCACACGACAUAUGUAGCACUUAACCCUUGCAUAUGUCAACCCGCCACCGGGGUUCUUAAGACCAGAUCAGGUUCAUGCGAACCGAGAGCACAGAUACACCACCGUCCAGUCUCUUGCCACGGAGGGUACACGCUACUCUCGCCACCGCUCCACGCCCAUUCCGUGUUAUCUUAUUCUGGCCUUAGUCUGCCCGAGGCAAAGCUUACCCAUGACGAGGCAUGUGACCAGUUAAAGGGUCCUCGAUCAUCAAGCCUACAUACGCAUCCAAUCCUUAAUCAACCUGGGUAAAACAUCACCUGUUCCUAGCCCAAGUUCCGAUUUAAGUACUUCCAUCCUUAGGAUUGUUUGUGUUCCUUAGGAUGAAAAGAGCAUCACAGGGAACUUUGCAGUAAGAUCCCACCAUGCUCCCAAUGAAAAUAUAUUCUUGUAGGUAGAAGCCAUCCUUCCUCAGGAUAACCCCUGAGCUAGACAGUAUUGCAAAAGACAACCUCUAUCCACAAGAUUUAAGCAGGGCUAAGCAUUUUUGUAAAUCAUAUUUUUGAUACUUCACCAGAAGUAUCUAUAAAGGUAUGGAUAUCAAGGAAGGCAAUGCAUCCAAGGGUUUCCAAGCAACUCUUAUAAACCUAAUGCACAUUCACUAGACUUAAAGUGUGUAAAAAUAAUUUAAAAACACAAGGAAGGGGUUGCAUGCACCGGAGCUUGCCUGGAAGAUACACUAGGUUAGUGUUUGUUAGACGAUGAGUAUCCUUCGACCGAGCACUUGCUUGAUUUAACCAUCUUCAGGUUGGUCCAUCAGCUUCAUCCUGCGGAUUAGCCCGCGCUUGGGGUCGACUUGGUUCGGGUUCUCCGCAUCACACGAUUAAUUAACGUACCUGAAUGGAAUGCAUUAUGCACAUGAAUGCAUAUCGACAUGAAUAUUACAAACCUAAAUAGUGCUACGCGAUGACGAAUUUAAACACCUAGCGGCGAGGCGUUGUACAAUUUUGUACGGAAUCACUAGUUAUUAAUAUACGACUACACGCAAUAAUUACGCUUCUCGAACCUAACGCAAACAUCACGAACCACAAACUAUACACAUGAAAGACAAUUAGCCUAAUCACAACUUAUCAAUUAAUUAAUUAAAUUCUAAACUUAUCCCUUACUUUAUAAAUUAUACUACAUCUUUAUAAAUGAUUAAAAUAUUUCAUCAACACGCUAGCACAUUAAUUUAUUUAACGAUCGAACUAUUCUAAACAAUUCAUCAGCUUACCGUUUCAACAGCUGACACGAAUCCGCGAGAUCGGUAGCGAUUUUCCGAUCCAAGCAAUUUGUCGAACGCUUGGGGAAUAUCGUGCUGCUAGCUUCGUCUUCACCCGAUUCUUGCGUAGACCUUUUUCCGAGCACCCGUCAAGCACCACACGGGAUUUAUUGCUUUAUCCGAAUUCUCGGGAUCGUUCGACGACGCAAGAGAUGUCGACCAGUUGGAGACUUGUAGGGUCGAGCACGACAAAGAGUUCCGAGGGUCGACAUAAGCAGCACGAAAUUGGAAAUCAAAUCAUCGGAGUCAAUAAGCACGUCGUGGGCAUAACGUGGGUCGACGACGAGGUCCAUGACGAGUGUCGCAAGGCAUGACAAAUGGGAAGGAGGCGAUGCACGAAUUUCAGAGCAUGGAGCUCACGGCGGCUUGAGGGAGACGGCCGUGGGAGGGACUUCGGUGAGCUGGAGCGGGAUACGGCCUGGGCGCGACGAAGGGAGCUGCGCGUUCAGAGCGAGCAGGGAGAAUCGACGGCGGGCAGUGAGACGGCAGAGGAAAUCGAGCAGGCAGGGGAGAGAGAAACAGGACACGCGCGGGAAGGGAUCUCGGCUGGGGCGUCGAGCACCGGGGCGCCAUCCAUGGAGGGGCUUGACCGGGCGCCGGAGCUUGGAGACGGACUGAGCAGGGAGGACGCUAAGCGCCAUGGGAGAUGGCUGGGUUAGCGGCGCUCGGCAAGGAGAAGCAGAGGACACCGGCGUCCAUGGUAGGGGCUAGACGCGAGCACAACAGAGCAGGGCGACAACGCGGUGGAGCAGAGGGUGCGCGCAGGCAACUUCGAAGCCGGGCGAGUGGGAGGGAGAAGACGGGGAGGGAAGUCGGCUGGAGCAAGGCAUCCCGGCGAGCUGCGCGCAGGGAAGGCACGCAGGGCGCGGCCCGCGCGACGCAGGGGGAGUUCGGCUGGAGAAUGAAGAGGAGCAGAGGGAUUCCAAGCGCAGGGGCUGAGGGAGAGAGAGAAGGGGAGCUCGCGGCAGCCAUCACCGGCAGAGGAAGCUCCGGCGAGGGAGAUCCACGAGCGGGGAAGCAAGGAGAUGGGCUUCGAGCUAAGCAG